AGGAGGACAGGGAGAGCUGGGAAGCCACGGUGCUGAGGGGGAUGGGUCUCUCAGUGGCCAGCUGUGACCCCAGCCUCCCCUCUGCUUUGCAGGGGACCUAAGUCUCCAUUUACAGAACUCACUAUUUGCCUCUUGUGGGGGAAGUCCCCAGAUGUCAGCCUUCUCGUGGGAAUUAUAAGAAGUAUGAGCCCCAGAGCUCCUUUAGUCUCUCCCCAGCCAGAGUCCACAUAUUUUCCCCCAUGUUUUGUGGGUGAAAAGGCCCUUCAGAACCCUAAAUCCACCCAGUUUAUAUUUGUUGCUGGGCUGCGUCAUUCUAGUCAGAAUCUGGGAGGAUGCCACCAUACGUAGAGGAGGCCAUGAGGGUCUCACCUGUAACAUUCUGUAGAUAUGACUUGUUUAUUCUGUCUACUGUGAGUGCCUGACUCUGAGUAGAAUCAAGGCCGGGGGAUUGUCAUCUGCUUUGUUUAUGAAAUUAUGCCAAGCCCCAAGAAGAGCGAUGCACAAAUGAGGUGUUUUGAAUGUAUGUGUUGAAUGAGUGAACCCCAACCUUUGGAGAACCCCAGUGAGCCUCUCCAGAUGUCUGAGUGGGCCUGUGGCUCCUUUUUCAGCACCAAGGGACCCCUCUUCUGUCUGUGUCAAGGAGAAAGACCAGCCAGAAGGAAUCUCAGACAUCCUUUACCAGUGCCAUCGCAGACUUGGUUUCUAUGUGUUUUUCCAAACAGUGAGUGAUACAGGCCAUUGAGGCAGAAUGCUGAGAGCUGCUUCAAGUGAGGGGGAAGAGAAAAGUAACAAACAUGAAUCACAGCACCCCCAGCAGAUUUUCCAGAGUUUUAGGCUCUAGGGACCCCUUUGUUUGCUGUGUCUUAGAUCAUUGAGUCCCUACAAGAACCCUGUGAGGUUCGUCUUCUCACUACUCCCUGUUCCAGAGGAGCCAACCGAGGCUCCGAGAGGUGCAUCUUCAAGACAGAGCCAGUAGGGGACAGAGGCACCUCUGUGUCUUGGAGGGGGAUGGACACUCACCUUCUAACCAGUAGUUCCAAAAAGUGUGGCACAGUGAUAAAGUCCCAGGAGGGGCCCAGGCAGGUGGCAUAGGAGGAGAUGGGUUUAGUUAGAAAGGCUGGAACCAGGGACUCCCAACAGCUUCUCCCCAGUGCCGGGCUGGAAAGUUAGCAUCCUGCAGAUCUCAUUUUCAUACUAGGGGGACAAGGAGGGACAUGGGAGUCAGUGGUAACACCAUGGACCACCAGAGGAUCGGGAUCUGGAACUCACACCAAGAAGCACCAACCCUUCAGGGACUUGUGCAUAUGGAGAACCUGGGUGCCCAUGGUGAAAAGCGUUCUAGGCUUUCAAAGUAACAUUGCAUGUGAGGAUGGAGAAUGAUAAAACGAUUCCUGCCUUCAAGGCAUCGUCCCGGUGUUUGUCAGCUGUGGGGCAACAGCACCCUCUGUGUCAGCAACCUGCAUGAAGAGCAUCAUCCCUGCAAGUCCUCAAGGCCUGGGGAGGCCUCAUCCCCUCCUCAUUUCAGCAACAGCACACAGGACAAUACGCUCUAGAAGAACUCUUUGACUUAAAGGUAUAUGAUUGUUUUUGUUCCUUUAACAUGAACGUGAGUCUGGAGAAACAGCUACGGCCAUCCCAGCCCUGGCCAAGGGGAAAAUGCCGGAAGACUCCAGGGUGGGAGGAAGCGCGUCCCAAGGCCCAGGAUCUGCGAGGCGACUUGGGGAAAACGCAGGACCUGCUGAAGCUCACACCCGUGGACCACCCAGACUGCCUGCCGCUACAGGAUGCCCUCCGCAUCUCCCAGGACUUCUUUCCGGCAUCAGUGUGGACAUUGACCCCACUGGACUGCAGUCACAGUGGACUCCCAAGGGGCAGGAUCCACCUCUGAUGUUCAGUGAAGACUACCAGAAAAGUCUGCUAGAGCAGUACCAUCUGGGUCUGGAUCAAAAACUCAGAAAAUACGUGGUUGGAGAGCUCAUCUGGAAUUUUGCCGAUUUCAUGACUAACCAGUGUCAGCCCAAGACUACCCCGUCGGUCAUUCUGUUCCUGCCGUCCUGUGAGGAGCCCCAAGCCAACAAGGCCACACUGGUGUGUCUCAUGAAUAACUUUAUCCGGGAAUCUUGAUGGUGACCUGGAAGGCAGAUGGUACCCUCAUCACCCAGAGCGUGGAGAAGACCACGCCCUCCAAACAGAGCAACAACAAGUACGUGGCCAGCAGCUACCUGAGCCUGACGCCCGAGCAGUGGAGGUCCCGCAGAAGCUACAGCUGCCAGGUUAUGCAAGAAGGGAGCACCGUGGAGAAGUCAGUGGCCCCUGCAGAAUGUUCAUAGGUUCCAGCCCCCACCCCACCCACAGGGGCCUGGAGCUGCAGGAUCCCAGGGGAGGGGUCUCUCUCUGCAUCCCAAGCCAUUCAGCCCUUCUCGCUGUACCCAGUAAACCCUCAAUAAAUAUCUUUGUCAGCCA
RNAcentral lists this long non-coding RNA (2463 nucleotides) under Homo sapiens (human). RNAcentral's name for it is "non-protein coding lnc-IGLL1-1:37". The record is from RNAcentral. Lineage: Eukaryota; Metazoa; Chordata; Mammalia; Primates; Hominidae.